RNAcentral lists this long non-coding RNA (476 nucleotides) under Mus caroli (Ryukyu mouse). RNAcentral's name for it is "lncRNA (MGP_CAROLIEiJ_G0003564.1)". The record is from RNAcentral. Lineage: Eukaryota; Metazoa; Chordata; Mammalia; Rodentia; Muridae.
ACAGAGUGAAUUCUGUCAGCUGAGGGGCAGUGUCUUCCUGUCCCCCACACUCCAGUGGUACCAGUGCAUAGGAUUUCUUUGUGUAGCCCUGGCUGUCCUGGACUUCACCUUGCAGACCACGCUGGCCUUGAACUCACAGAUCCACCGGCCUCUGCCUCCUGAGUAUUGGGACUAAAGAGUGACAAGAGAAGAAUGUCUGUGUGCUUGUCUGCCAGCUAAAGGAAUACAAAGCCAAGCGGUUAGGCUCACCUUGUAUCCCGGAACUCCAGAAGCUAGGCAAGAGGCCCACAGGCCAGCAGCCUGGCUGCACAGAGAGACUUACCGAAGAACAAUUAUUCAAACAAAUUCAAAAGAAAAAAUUCCAGUUCCAUCAGAUGUCCCCUGGCACACCCAAGCACACCCCCUUCUUUCCUUUUCCCGGGGUGACUACAGUUGUGUGCGGAAUUCUCUUGCUUAAAAAAAAAAAAAUGUUUGUA